AUCAUUCUCAUCUUUUAAUUUUGUCGCACAAAGAGUUCCAAAUCUAAAAGAAUAUAAUUGCAGACACAGAGAGAGAAAGAGAGCUGUUGGAGUGUGAACUAGAGAAGACAAUGAGAUGACUUUCAUUAUCAUUUUGCAGCCAUUUCUCAGUUUCUUCGGUAUGUUUCCUUCUCUAAUGAUCUCUCUCUCUCUCUCUCUGGUCUCACAUUUUUCUCUUUUGUUCUGACACUUCACUUGUGAGAGUUUUCGUUGUUGUUUGUACAUUUGGAUCUAAUCUAUUCGAACUAUUCGACGAGUCGUUUUGUAUCUGUCUCUAGUUUUGCUUGAAGAAAGACUCAAUCUUUUUAGUUUCUGUAGCUACCCAUUUGCUCUUUCUGGUAAUUUUG
This 386-nucleotide long non-coding RNA is filed under the name Arabidopsis lyrata. Its description in RNAcentral is "long non-coding RNA (ALYR_LNC000159)". Lineage: Eukaryota; Viridiplantae; Streptophyta; Magnoliopsida; Brassicales; Brassicaceae. The record is from RNAcentral.